Molecule: ribosomal RNA, 911 nt
Filed under: Ostreococcus tauri
Lineage: Eukaryota; Viridiplantae; Chlorophyta; Mamiellophyceae; Mamiellales; Bathycoccaceae
Description: bacterial SSU rRNA
Rfam family: Bacterial small subunit ribosomal RNA
Source: RNAcentral
UUCGGCUCAACCGGGGUCCGCAAAGAAACUUCCAUGCUUGAGGGAAGUAGAGGUAGGGAAUUCCGGUGGAGCGGUGAAAUGCGUAGAUAUCGGAAGGAACACCAAUAUGGCGAAGGCACUGUACUGGGCUUUACCUGACGCUAAGAGACGAAAGCUAAAGGAGUGAUUAGGAUUAGAUACCCUAGUAAUUUUAGCCGUAAACGAUGGAAACUCACUGCCGAGCCGGUAUUCGGAGCGGUGGUCAAGCUAACGCGUGAAGUUUCCCGCCUGGGGAUUACGCAUGCAAAUGUGAAACUCAAAGGAAUUGACGGGGACCCGCACAAGCGGUGGAGUAUGUGGUUUAAUUCGAUGCAACGCGAAAAACCUUACCAAGGUUUGAAAUCAUUCUAAAACUCUUUGAAAGAAGAGCCUCCUUCGGGAUAGAAUGACAGGUGGUGCAUGGCUGUCGUCAGCUCGUGUUGUGAAAUGUCAAGUUAAGUCUUGUAACGAGCGCAACCCAUGUCUUUUGUUGCUGUUUUACAGUGCUUAAAAGAGACUGCCGCUAUACAGCGGAGGAAGGUGUGGAUGGAUGAUGUCAAGUCAGCAUGCCCCUUAUAUCUUGGGCUACACACGUACUACAAUGGUAGGGACAAUGAGUCGCAAACCUGUGAAGGCUAGCCAAUCUCAAAAACCCUAUCUCAGUUCGGAUUGUACUCUGCAACUCGAGUACAUGAAGGUGGAAUCGCUAGUAAUCGCUGGUCAGCAUACAGCGGUGAAUACGUUCCCGGGUCUUGUACACACUGCCCGUCACACCAUGGAAGUCGAUCCUUCCCUAAGUCGUUACUCGAACCUUUAUGGACGAGGAUGCCGAAGGCAGGGUUGGUGACUAGGGUGAAGUCGUAACAAGGUAGCCGUACUGGAAGGUGUGGCUG